UACGUAGGGCGCAAGCGUUGUCCGGAAUUAUUGGGCGUAAAGAGCUCGUAGGCGGCCUGUCGCGUCUGCUGUGAAAUCCCGGGGCUUAACCCCGGGCGUGCAGUGGAUACGGGCUGGCUGGAGGCAGGCAGGGGAGAACGGAAUUCCCGGUGUAGCGGUGAAAUGCGCAGAUAUCGGGAGGAACACCGGUGGCGAAGGCGGGUCUCUGGGCAGUAACUGACGCUGAGGAGCGAAAGCGUGGGGAGCGAACAGG
Molecule: ribosomal RNA, 253 nt
Filed under: uncultured bacterium
Lineage: Bacteria
Description: partial 16S ribosomal RNA
Rfam family: Bacterial small subunit ribosomal RNA
Source: RNAcentral